AAUACCUGCUCUUUUUUUUUUUAACCUAAAUUUUUUCUCCUUCUCUCUCUCUCAUUUUUAUUUAUUCAACUUAAUUCUCCUCUCAUCUCUUUUGGGUGCGGAGCCUACUUUUUUUAAACCUAAUUUUUUUCUCCCUCUCUCCCCUAUUUUUAUUUUUUCAACACAAUUCUCCUCUCCCUCUUUCUUUCUCUCAAAUUUUUUAUCAAUCUCUUUCUCAUCUUUUACUGCACAACUUAUUUUAAAAAAAUAAAUAUUAUAAAAUUAAAAUCUAAUUAAAUAAAUAUGACUUAAAUUAUAUGAAAGACUAUAUAUAAAAAUUUAUAGAAUUUAAAAUUUUAUAAUAAGAUUUUAAAAAUGUAGUGUAUAAAAUUAAGUUUUAUACCUGAUUUAUAAAAUAUUUUUUCUCCACUAUUCUAUCUUAUCUUAACUAUAACAAAUUAUUGCUAGCAUCCGGUCUAUUGGUGCAUCGCAUGUACUAAACUUAUUUUUAAAAGAUAAAUAUUAUAAACUUAAAAUAUAAUCCGAUAAAUGCACUCUAUGUGAUAUAAAAAGUCUAUUUAUAAAAAUUUAUAGAGUUUAAAUUUUUAUAAUAGAAUUUUAAAAAUUUGGCGUAUAUGAUAUAUUUAUGGGGUUUUUUUUUGCAUCUAGCCCCUUAGAAAAAAAUUAUUUUAAAAAUAGCCCCAGUAAAAUUAUAUUUGCACUUUUGACCCUGACCACGCCACGCAAACGCCACGCAAGCGGGACUGGGCGAGGGUGUUAAGUUAAACACGGUGAACCAUUCACCGUGUCCAAACACGGUAAAUGGUUUACCAUGUCUAGAAAAAAUACAAAUAUAUGUAUUUUUCGCAAUAUAAAUAUUGAAAAGAGGAAUAGAGAGUAGGGAUGUCAAUGGGUAUGGAUACUCGAAAUAUUAUCUGAAUCCAAACCCGAAUAAAUUAUUUAUAUACAUAAUUUAUUUUUAUUUAUUUAUACAAUAUAUAAAAUAUUUAAUAAUUUUUAUCCCUUAGAUCUUCAUCGAACGGUAUGGAUUUUUAAAACCCACCGGGUUCGGGUCCGGGUUCGAGUCCGAGUUCAGGUUUCGGGUUGUUGGUCGAGUAUGGGUAUGGGUAUAGAUUUUUAAAACCCUCCGUGUUCGGAUCCGGGUUCGGGUUUUAAUUUGAUUUUCGGGUUCGAGUUCAGGUUUUUGAAAACCCGACCCGUUGACAUCCCUAAUAGGGAGAAUAUAAGUACGGAAUACAGUGAAUCAUUAACGGUGAAUGGUUCACCGUGUCUAGAAAACAUAAAUAUUGAAAAAGAGAAGAAGAUGAAUAUAAAUAUGAAACAUGGUGAACACGGUGAAUGAUUCACAGUAUUCAACUUGCCAAGUAGGCUCCCAGCCCACCCACGUGGCGCUUGCGUGGCGCCUGCGUGGCAGGGGUAGGGUCAUUUUUGCAAUUAUAAAUUUGUUGGGACUAAUUUUAAAAUAAAAUUUUUUCAGGAGGCCAUUUGCAAAUAAAGCCCUACAUUUAUGCAUCUAGUGUAUGAAAUAAUUU
RNAcentral lists this long non-coding RNA (1532 nucleotides) under Ananas comosus (pineapple). RNAcentral's name for it is "long non-coding RNA (ACOM_LNC032555)". The record is from RNAcentral. Lineage: Eukaryota; Viridiplantae; Streptophyta; Magnoliopsida; Poales; Bromeliaceae.